CUUCUUUCAUAGUAAUUUUCCUUCAUACUUUUUGCCAGUAUGGUCGUGAAAUAGGUCUUAAAUUCUAUUCAAAGUGGUCCUAAAAGGUCUUAAAAAGUCUUAAAUUUAUCUUGUUAAAACCUGUAGGAACCCUGGAGUGAAGUAGAAAUACUCCAUUAUUAAAUUAAACAAACUCCGACAGUAAAACCAAAAAUAAACAACAAUUUCUAGGACUGAAAAGCAGCACUGAACGGCCCGAGCACAUUCAUUUUGAAGCGUUGCAUGAGUUUUGCGCACUGCAGAGAGGAUGAAAGCUUAAAUUCCUGCGUGCGUCACAUGAUGUUGGCCUUCAUCAAAAACAUAAAACAGACUGCACACAUUGUCAGGUGGUCUCCAGAUGGAGAUAAAUAUGAGGUGGUGGUAGAUGACGAGGUGAACAUCUACGACCUGGAGACGGCGAUCGGUGAAGGGAACAAUCAUGAACCCCAAAAGAAUCUUGUCUGUUAAGUUCUUAAAUAACUCUGCCGUCGCAGGAGAUGAUGAGAUUGUGAGGUUGUGUGAAUUGGAAAAACUGAAAUGCAUGUGAGCUGGAACCUCCCACCCUCCUCGUGGAAGUGAACACCUCGGCCCAGGCUGAUGUUCCUCGCCGUGUGGAAACCUUCAUCGGUGCAGCCGCCCGCUGAGGAACCAGCAGCUGCUGCGACGACAUCUGAAGAACUCGCUCGAGAGCUUUCAAACAGCAAGAGAGUUCGAAUGGCGACGGAAGUAGUCGUUCUGGAAGACGAGAGCAAACCCAGAAAGAAGAAGAAAAAGGCCGUUGGAAAAUGAAA
Limanda limanda (common dab) is the source of this 809-nucleotide long non-coding RNA. RefSeq lists it as uncharacterized. Lineage: Eukaryota; Metazoa; Chordata; Actinopteri; Pleuronectiformes; Pleuronectidae. The record is from RefSeq and is a predicted model, not a curated record. The transcript is spliced from 5 exons.